GACUCCAUGGUGUAAUGGUUAACACACCUGACACAAUUAAAGCUGUCCGCACAUAAGCAUGCAUUCGGGAGGUCCCUGUUCGAUUCGGGGUGGGGUUA
Molecule: non-coding RNA, 98 nt
Organism: Mycena alexandri
Lineage: Eukaryota; Fungi; Basidiomycota; Agaricomycetes; Agaricales; Mycenaceae
Source: the annotation of a GenBank genome assembly